RNAcentral lists this ribosomal RNA (253 nucleotides) under uncultured bacterium. RNAcentral's name for it is "partial 16S ribosomal RNA". It matches the Rfam family "Bacterial small subunit ribosomal RNA", at positions 524 to 776 of the family's 1533-position model. The record is from RNAcentral.
UACGAAGAGGGCUAGCGUUGCUCGGAAUCACUGGGCGUAAAGGGUGCGUAGGCGGGUCUUUAAGUCAGGGGUGAAAUCCUGGAGCUCAACUCCAGAACUGCCUUUGAUACUGAGGAUCUUGAGUUCGGGAGAGGUGAGUGGAACUGCGAGUGUAGAGGUGAAAUUCGUAGAUAUUCGCAAGAACACCAGUGGCGAAGGCGGCUCACUGGCCCGGUACUGACGCUGAGGCGCGAAAGCGUGGGGAGCAAACAGG